RNAcentral lists this transfer RNA (71 nucleotides) under Marmota monax (woodchuck). RNAcentral describes it as "tRNA.Thr". The record is from RNAcentral. Lineage: Eukaryota; Metazoa; Chordata; Mammalia; Rodentia; Sciuridae.
GUGGUUCUAGCUCAGUGGUAGAGCACUUGCCUAGUGUGUGUGAGGCACUGGGUUCAAUCUUCAGCACCACA